Neofelis nebulosa (Clouded leopard) is the source of this 714-nucleotide long non-coding RNA. RefSeq lists it as uncharacterized. NCBI's taxonomy places the organism in Eukaryota, Metazoa, Chordata, Mammalia, Carnivora, Felidae. The transcript has 5 exons. The record is from RefSeq and is a predicted model, not a curated record.
CUGGGGCUAGAGAGACUGUGACAUAGCUCUCAGUCACACACAGCUGGUUGGUGGCAGAAUUGGAGCCAGAGCUGGCCGUCUUCUGACCAUGGAGCGUUAAUGCCUCAUGAGGUUGAAUGAGGCCAGAACUAAGGAAAUGGGAAUGUAGGACCCAGAAAUGAUGUGGGAAAAUCGUCCAUACUUUAUUAGCAGUAUUAGCAGCAAAGGAGAUGCAAUCAGAUUUGCAUUUUAUUUUAUUUUAGUUUUUAGAUUUGCAUUUUGGAAACAUCUCUCUAGCAUGGCAUAAAGAAUGGAUUGAAAGGAGCAAACAGAUCUUACAAGAGCCCUAAUGAAGUUGCUAUCACCUGCCUAUUGCAAAUUAAAAAAAAGAAAACUGAGGGAAGGAUGAAGAAAUGGAGGCCAAAAGUCAAUAACCUGUCCAGUUUCACACAGCUGAUCAGUGGAAAGACUGGGGUUUGAAUUCUGAUCUGUUUGACAGUUUAUGGGAAGAACAUAUGAGUGAGCGUAUGUGUAUGUGUCUUGUAAGCUCAUUUCUAAUCAGCCCCCUGGGAAUGCUGGAUCUGAGAAACACUUUGUCCUUCUGAGGAACAAAACCCUUCCCAGGUGACUGCUCAUCAUGCACAGGCGGGUGAUAUUGAGGACCAUGACAACAGUGAAGGCCACAAGGCAGACGACCAUGUAGUAGACGCCCAUGUCUCCAGAGAUAAAGAUGAC